Molecule: ribosomal RNA, 497 nt
Filed under: uncultured bacterium
Lineage: Bacteria
Description: partial 16S ribosomal RNA
Rfam family: Bacterial small subunit ribosomal RNA
Source: RNAcentral
GAUGAACGCUGGCGGCGUGCCUAAUACAUGCAAGUCGAGCGAACAGACGAGGAGCUUGCUCCUCUGACGUUAGCGGCGGACGGGUGAGUAACACGUGGAUAACCUACCUAUAAGACUGGGAUAACUUCGGGAAACCGGAGCUAAUACCGGAUAAUAUAUUGAACCGCAUUGUUCAAUAGUUAAAGACGGUUUUGCUUUCACUUAAAGAUGGAUCCGCGCCUCAUUAGCUAGUUGGUAAGGUAACGGCUUACCCAGGCGACGAUGGUUAGACGAACUGAGAGGGUCAUCGGCCACACUGGAACUGAGACACGGUCCCGACUCCUACGGGAGGCAGCAGUAGGGAAUCUUCCGCAAUGGGCGAAAGCCUGACGGAGCAACGCCGCGUGAGUGAUGAACGUCUUCGGAUCGUAAAACUCUGUUAUUAGGGAAGAACAAAUGUGUAAGUAACUAUGCACGUAUUGACGGUACCUAAUCAGAAAGCCACGGCUAACUACGUG